CCUCGGCCGAACUCCGAUUUGCGAUCUGUUUGUGCCCACGAACUCGUAUCGAGAUGUUCUACAACUUUCAUAAGGCCGUGCUUCAAAAUUCAGCCUUCAUAUUUCUGUAAAAUUCAUCAAAAUUUGAGCAAAUAUCAUAUUUCACAAGAUAAAACAAUAUAAGCACAAAACAACUAUUAAACACUCAAUUCCCUAUAAAAUUGACAUCAUAAGAAUAUUAAAAACCAUAAAAAAAAAAAUGAGUGUUAUCACAAAGUCGCCGAAAAAGUAUAUGGAGAAGAUGUUGGAAAAGUAAAUAAAGAGAAGAGAAGUUUUAGCAAAACUAAUACCUAAUAAUAUGAACGUCACUGCCAAAGAAAACUACGUCCAAAGAGGUUGGGUUUGAAAAAGAUAAAAUAGAGAGAUAAAGAAAUAGCAUGAGAUCUAGAGAACCAGAGGAGAGAAAAAGAGUUGGUUGUUAAAAUUGACCAUGAGAAAAAG
Molecule: long non-coding RNA, 480 nt
Filed under: Salvia miltiorrhiza (redroot sage)
Lineage: Eukaryota; Viridiplantae; Streptophyta; Magnoliopsida; Lamiales; Lamiaceae
Description: long non-coding RNA (SMIL_LNC006676)
Source: RNAcentral